Molecule: ribosomal RNA, 517 nt
Filed under: uncultured bacterium
Lineage: Bacteria
Description: bacterial SSU rRNA
Rfam family: Bacterial small subunit ribosomal RNA
Source: RNAcentral
AGAGUUUGAUCAUGGCUCAGAUUGAACGCUGGCGGCAUGCUUUACACAUGCAAGUCGAACGGUAACAGGCCGCAAGGUGCUGACGAGUGGCGAACGGGUGAGUAAUGUAUCGGAACGUGCCCAGUCGUGGGGGAUAACGCAGCGAAAGCUGCGCUAAUACCGCAUACGAUCUAUAGAUGAAAGCGGGGGACCGUAAGGCCUCGCGCGAUUGGAGCGGCCGAUAUCAGAUUAGGUAGUUGGUGGGGUAAAGGCUCACCAAGCCAACGAUCUGUAGCUGGUCUGAGAGGACGACCAGCCACACUGGGACUGAGACACGGCCCAGACUCCUACGGGAGGCAGCAGUGGGGAAUUUUGGACAAUGGGCGCAAGCCUGAUCCAGCAAUGCCGCGUGCAGGAAGAAGGCCUUCGGGUUGUAAACUGCUUUUGUACGGAACGAAACGGUCCUGGUUAAUACCUGGGGCUAAUGACGGUACCGUAAGAAUAAGCACCGGCUAACUACGUGCCAGCAGCCGCGGUA